UGUUAUUGUUGUUGUUGUUGUUGUUAUUAAAGCGGCGAGCUGGCAUAAACAUUAGUACGCCGAGCGAAAAGCCUAGCGGUAUUUCGUCCGCCUUUACGUACUGAGUUCAAAUUCCGCCGAGGUCGACUUUGCCUUUCAUUCUUUCGGGGUCGAUAAAUUAAGUACCAAUUACGCACUGAGGUCGAUGUAGUCGACU
Octopus sinensis (East Asian common octopus) is the source of this 196-nucleotide long non-coding RNA. RefSeq lists it as uncharacterized. The transcript has 3 exons. NCBI's taxonomy places the organism in Eukaryota, Metazoa, Mollusca, Cephalopoda, Octopoda, Octopodidae. The record is from RefSeq and is a predicted model, not a curated record.